This 460-nucleotide ribosomal RNA is filed under the name uncultured bacterium. RNAcentral describes it as "partial 16S ribosomal RNA". It matches the Rfam family "Bacterial small subunit ribosomal RNA", at positions 338 to 795 of the family's 1533-position model. The record is from RNAcentral.
CCUACGGGUGGCAGCAGUGAGGAAUAUUGGUCAAUGGACGAGAGUCUGAACCAGCCAAGUAGCGUGAAGGAUGACUGCCCUAUGGGUUGUAAACUUCUUUUAUAUGGGAAUAACAUGUUCCACGUGUGGGCUUUUGUAUGUACCCUAUGAAUAAGGAUCGGCUAACUCCGUGCCAGCAGCCGCGGUAAUACGGAGGAGCCGAGCGUUAUCCGGAUUUAUUGGGGUUAAAGGGGGCGUAGGUGGAUUGUUAAGUCAGUUGUGAAAGUUUGCGGCUCAACCGUAAAAUUGCAGUUGAUACUGGCAGUCUUGAGUACAGUAGAGGUGGGCGGAAUUCGUGGUGUAGCGGUGAAAUGCUUAGAUAUCACGAAGAACUCCGAUUGCGAAGGCAGCUCACUGGACUGCAACUGACACUGAGGCUCGAAAGUGUGGGUAUCAAACAGGAUUAGAUACCCCAGUAGUC